RNAcentral lists this ribosomal RNA (454 nucleotides) under Leptobrachium hasseltii (Java spadefoot toad). Its description in RNAcentral is "partial 12S rRNA". It matches the Rfam family "Bacterial small subunit ribosomal RNA", at positions 868 to 1522 of the family's 1533-position model. Lineage: Eukaryota; Metazoa; Chordata; Amphibia; Anura; Megophryidae. The record is from RNAcentral.
UCCGCCCGGGUACUACGAGCUUUAGCUUAAAACCCAAAGGACUUGGCGGUGCCCUAUUCCACCUAGAGGAGCCUGUUCUUUAAUCGAUAACCCACGAUAUACCUAACCAUUUCUUGCCUAAACCGCCUAUAUACCGCCGUCGUCAAUUUACCCUUUGAAGGACUCAUAGAAAGUUAAAAGGUCCCCGCCAAAACGUCAGGUCAAGGUGUAGCGAAUGAAAUGGGAAGAAACGGGCUACAUUUUCUAACAUAGACUAUACGGAUAAUCAAUAUGAAAUCUGAUCUUGAAGGAGGAUUUAGUAGUAAAAAGAAAUCAGCAAGUUCGUUUUAACCUGGCCCUAGGGCGCGCACACACCGCCCGUCACCCUCUCAACUCUUUAACUAUUACUAAUAAACUAUUUUUAACAGAAGAGGUAAGUCGUAACAUGGUAAGUAUACCGGAAGGUGUACUUGGA